Molecule: ribosomal RNA, 619 nt
Filed under: Klebsiella sp. EECC-701
Lineage: Bacteria; Pseudomonadati; Pseudomonadota; Gammaproteobacteria; Enterobacterales; Enterobacteriaceae
Description: bacterial SSU rRNA
Rfam family: Bacterial small subunit ribosomal RNA
Source: RNAcentral
GAGCGGCGGACGGGUGAGUAAUGUCUGGGAAACUGCCUGAUGGAGGGGGAUAACUACUGGAAACGGUAGCUAAUACCGCAUAACGUCGCAAGACCAAAGUGGGGGACCUUCGGGCCUCAUGCCAUCAGAUGUGCCCAGAUGGGAUUAGCUAGUAGGUGAGGUAAUGGCUCACCUAGGCGACGAUCCCUAGCUGGUCUGAGAGGAUGACCAGCCACACUGGAACUGAGACACGGUCCAGACUCCUACGGGAGGCAGCAGUGGGGAAUAUUGCACAAUGGGCGCAAGCCUGAUGCAGCCAUGCCGCGUGUAUGAAGAAGGCCUUCGGGUUGUAAAGUACUUUCAGCGAGGAGGAAGGCGAUAAGGUUAAUAACCUUGUCGAUUGACGUUACUCGCAGAAGAAGCACCGGCUAACUCCGUGCCAGCAGCCGCGGUAAUACGGAGGGUGCAAGCGUUAAUCGGAAUUACUGGGCGUAAAGCGCACGCAGGCGGUCUGUCAAGUCGGAUGUGAAAUCCCCGGGCUCAACCUGGGAACUGCAUCCGAAACUGGCAGGCUAGAGUCUUGUAGAGGGGGGUAGAAUUCCAGGUGUAGCGGUGAAAUGCGUAGAGAUCUGGAGGAAUA